This 351-nucleotide RNase P RNA is filed under the name Candidatus Contendibacter odensensis. RNAcentral's name for it is "Candidatus Contendobacter odensis RNase P RNA component class A". It matches the Rfam family "Bacterial RNase P class A". From Rfam's summary of the family: Ribonuclease P (RNase P) is a ubiquitous endoribonuclease, found in archaea, bacteria and eukarya as well as chloroplasts and mitochondria. Its best characterised activity is the generation of mature 5'-ends of tRNAs by cleaving the 5'-leader elements of precursor-tRNAs. The record is from RNAcentral. Lineage: Bacteria; Pseudomonadati; Pseudomonadota; Gammaproteobacteria; Candidatus Competibacteraceae.
GGAACCGGUCAGACGGUCGCUGUGCCGCUAUGCAGUACAGAGGAAAGUCCGGACUCCAUCGGACAGGGUGCCAGGUAACACCUGGGAGGCGUGAGCCUACGGACAGUGCCACAGAAAAUAUACCGCCUAUGUUCGCAAGAGCAGGUAAGGGUGAAAUGGUGUGGUAAGAGCACACCGCAUAAUGGGUAACCGUUAUGGCAGGGUAAACCCCACCCGGAGCAAGACCAAAUAGAGGAACGUUAUCGUGUGGUCCACACGGUUCCCGGGUAGGUCGCUACAGGCAUCUGGUAACAGGUGUCGCAGAUGAAUGACCGUCCUCGACAGAACCCGGCUUAUCGACCGGUUCCCUUU